Molecule: long non-coding RNA, 626 nt
Filed under: Neogale vison (American mink)
Lineage: Eukaryota; Metazoa; Chordata; Mammalia; Carnivora; Mustelidae
Description: Neovison vison (American mink) lncRNA (ENSNVIG00000005733.1)
Source: RNAcentral
UUUGUUUUCUUGGUUUUCAUUUGUCCUUUCUUGAGCUAUGAAAAAUAAGGCACACAAAACACACCACCCUAUUUGAUCUUGGGAGUAAGAUCAGACUAAUAAGGACACAUGCACAUUUCUAGGAUUUCUGAUGGAUCUUAAACACCUCACUGAAACUGUAUCUGUGUCUUAUUUAGGAUUCCAAAGCCCUGAAUGAGAAGAUAUAAAUAGCCUCAAGGAAUUGUAGAUGAAUUUGGAUGGACCUAGACACUCGGGUUGGCUCUUCAGGAGGAAAGCAGAUUGCAACAGUGACUGAAGGGAAGACCAGAAGAAUAGAAGAAAAUUGUAAGAACAAAAUUAACAAACAAGAUCCUUGGCCAGAUGUCAGCUGAGAGCUUCCAUUGAAAGGAUUGCUGUGGAAGGAUGGUGAGUGACGGUCAUAGCAAAUCUUCAGAUCAGUCCCUGCAGGAGCCAUGGAGAGGCCAAGGUAACAUUGGAGCACAACCUUUGGGAGAGAGACAUCAGACUAGAAGUUAAUCCAACCUCAGGCUUCAGCCCCGAAUGCCAGGAAGAUAGGGUGUGCCCAGGUGGACAAGAGACAUCACUUCAGAGGUCAGAGAAGAGGCCCUAGGGCAUGAGAUGUCAAC